GACGAACGCUGGCGGCGUGCUUAACACAUGCAAGUCGAACGGAAAGGCCCCUUUGGGGGUACUCGAGUGGCGAACGGGUGAGUAACACGUGAGUAACCUGCCCUUGACUUCGGGAUAACUUCAGGAAACUGGGGCUAAUACCGGAUAGGAAUCCUUGCUGCAUGGUGGGGGUUGGAAAGCUUCGGCGGUUUUGGAUGGACUCGCGGCUUAUCAGCUUGUUGGUGGGGUAGUGGCUUACCAAGGCUUUGACGGGUAGCCGGCCUGAGAGGGCGACCGGCCACAUUGGGAAUGGGAAACGGCCCAGACUCCUACGGGCGGCAGCAGUGGGGAAUAGUGCACAAUGGGCGGAAGCCUGAUGCAGCAACGCCGCGUGCGGGGUGACGGCCUUCGGGUUGUAAACCGAUUUCAGCAGGGGCGAAGCUUGUGGUGACGGUACCUGCAGAAGAAGCACCGGCUAACUACGUG
RNAcentral lists this ribosomal RNA (465 nucleotides) under uncultured bacterium. RNAcentral describes it as "partial 16S ribosomal RNA". It matches the Rfam family "Bacterial small subunit ribosomal RNA", at positions 28 to 507 of the family's 1533-position model. The record is from RNAcentral.